RNAcentral lists this ribosomal RNA (253 nucleotides) under uncultured archaeon. RNAcentral describes it as "partial 16S ribosomal RNA". It matches the Rfam family "Archaeal small subunit ribosomal RNA", at positions 474 to 727 of the family's 1478-position model. The record is from RNAcentral.
UACCCGGGGCCCGAGUGAUGGUCACGAUUAUUUGGUCUAAGGCAUCCGUAGGCGGUUUAAUAAGUCUCUUGUGAAAUCCUCUAGCAAACUAGAGGGCGUGCAAAAGAUACUAUUAGACUUGAGACUGGGAGAGGACAACGAUACUUCUUGUGUAGGGGUUAAAUCCUUUAAUCCAAGAAGGAUCACCUGUGGCGAAAGCGGUUGUCUAGAACAGGUCUGACGCUGAGGGAUGAAAGCUAGGGGAGCGAUCGGG